ACUAUAAGAAUACAAUGCAAUAAUCAGAUAAUAGUGUAAAGAGGUCAUAUGGUAUACUUUCUUAUUUGUCUGCAAACCAAAAAAGUUUGCAAAUCUUGAUCGUGACAUUUUUAAUAGAAUAUGUGUACUGAAAAUUCAAAGGAAUUGUAAGUCAUGAUAUAGUGUAAUAUAAAUCGUGACAUUUUCUAAAUAGCGUCUACCAUUAAACAUUCCAAAUAAAGUGGUAAAACAUUGAAGAUAUACGUGAUUUAAUUUUAUGUUGGUAUAAAAAUAUCACAGGUACAGGUGAACGCACACAUCUCUGUCUGGCGUGUGAUUCAGCUGAAUGAUAAGCAGUUGUGUGAAACUAUACCUAUCCUUAAAAGCAAAGUGAAAAAUUUAGUGUUAUCAAUUCAAGACCAGAAACGGUGUUUCUGCAAACCCUGUGUUGUUCAGUUGAAGGUAUGUAAUUGAAACUUUGUACAAAUUGUUAGAAUUGAUUGACUUAUAAGUAAUAUUUCUCAUCCAUUGAGCAUUUGAUAUUUCAUUUCUUGCUGAUAAUAGUCUUAAUUUUGACCUGCUUGUAUACUGCAGAAUUAUAUUCAUAUGCAGACAUGUACAACCCAGCAGGCCGGCGACGUAUUUGCUACGUCGCUGUCAGGUCACAUUGAGGUCGCCAUGUCGCAGUCGCAGUGCGACGUUGUAUGGACGUGGCAGACAAGUCGCUUUCUGGUUUGGUUUUCCAUUCACAUGGCCACGUCGCUGCAACGUAGCUGUACUACAUCCAAAGGUCAGAGCAGGAAUUCCUGCAUUCAAACUCGGACUCUGUACAUAGCGGGCAGGAAGUUCCGCCACACUGCAGGAUAUAGAAGACUGUUCAUUUUACUCUUGUGACAAGACUACAGUUUUCUAAGAGGAGCUUCAAGCACAGAAACGGGUUGGCGGCAAUGACAUGCAUCAGACCAACUGUUGAGUUUUAACCCUUGGUCAUGGGUCAGUACAAUGUAAAAGGAAUUGGAAACAAGAGAAGCUUUUCUACAACAAGACUGUAGAAACUGAUCAGAGAGAUGCUACUUUGGCCAACUGUCCAACAUCUACUGAAACAGAUAUAGCAAGCUUCAUAGGUUAAUAUUUGAAACAAACAUGCUCCAAGAAAGCUCUUGAGGGAGCAUGAGAGAGCGGAAUGAGCAGCGAGGCAAGCCACAACAGCUGAUAAAUCGGAUUAAACUGUAUGGGGGGAGUGUGUGUAAGCGUGUGUGUGUGUGUGUGUUUGUGUGGUUAAUUUAGUCUGAUUAAAUAUUACUAAAACCCUU
Molecule: long non-coding RNA, 1292 nt
Filed under: Haliotis rubra (blacklip abalone)
Lineage: Eukaryota; Metazoa; Mollusca; Gastropoda; Lepetellida; Haliotidae
Description: uncharacterized LOC124273938, transcript variant X1
Source: RNAcentral